CCUAAUGCUGACUGAAGGAAAAGUUCAGUUUAGGGUUUAAAACCCCUAAUGCUGACUGAAAGGAAAGAGUUCAGUUUAGGGUUUAAAACCCUAAUGCUGACUAAAGGAAAAAGUUCAGUUUAGGGUUUAAAACCCUAAUGCUGACUAAAGGAAAAAGUUCAGUUUAGGGUUUAAAACCCUAAUGCUGACUGAAUGGAAAAGUUCAGUUUAGGGUUUAAAACCCUAAUGCUGACUGGCUGGGGACAAAGUUCGAGAAUACUAACUGACCUUUUUUUUUGGAUUUUCUUGUU
RNAcentral lists this long non-coding RNA (290 nucleotides) under Nicotiana tabacum (common tobacco). RNAcentral's name for it is "long non-coding RNA (NTAB_LNC014071)". The record is from RNAcentral. Lineage: Eukaryota; Viridiplantae; Streptophyta; Magnoliopsida; Solanales; Solanaceae.